This 1742-nucleotide long non-coding RNA is filed under the name Rattus norvegicus (Norway rat). Its description in RNAcentral is "partial HAfT24 cufflinks 00007062". The record is from RNAcentral. Lineage: Eukaryota; Metazoa; Chordata; Mammalia; Rodentia; Muridae.
GUUUACUUCCCUGCCAGGAGGUGGGAGCUCCCGCUGUGGGGAGUGGAGAGGGUUGGCUUGGUAGGGGCAGACAAAGUAAUUGGCAUCCAUGGUUUGAUGUCACCCCACCUUCUGCCCUGCUGAUCCAGGCUGGGAAGGGUGACAAUUAUUUACUUCUCCUGGGUUUCCCUGCUGGGAGACCUGUAGGGAGCAAGGCAAUGAUCUGCAGGUCUUGGAGACAAAGGAAACCGAUCCUAUGACCGUGGAAUGAGUGGUGGCAGACAAAGCCAGGGACUCAGAAGCCAGCCAAGGAACUAGAGCCCUGGCUAUCACGGGACUCAUUGUGUAGACCAGGCUGUCCUUGAACUCAGAGAUCUGCCUGCCUUUGCCUCCCAAGUGUUGGAGUUAAAGGAAUGAGUCAUCAAUGCCCUGGCGAGAAAGACUGUGAGUAGGAGCGUGCUACUGCAGUAGUCCAGAUCUCCUUUGGACCCCUGGGACCUGCUCUCCACUUUCCUGAUGAUGGUGUGGGGGACGUAGAACUCAGGACUCCUCCUGAGGGUGGGAGCCUUUGUGGCGACUGGAGGGAUUCCAUUGUGCCACUAGAGCUGAAGAGGAAGGGGUGUCCCUCCUGUGUGCACUGGGGUCCAAGCCUGGGACCCUCUCUCUCUAUGCAUUCCCUGUCAUCAGUUUUCCAGGAAUCCUGGAGGCUCCCCCUGUCUUCCCCCACCCACCAGGAUCAAGGUUUGUGGGGAAUGUUCUCCCGCAGAACUCGGCAUGAAAUAAAUUCCAUUCUUACUCUGCCAAUGACACUGCACAUAAAUAUUCAGUAAAUUAGCAGCACACUUUUAUAGAUUUAUCAGUCAUUGCAGGCACAAAAUGACAGGCAAUGUUGUAGCUGAAAUAUUAAUGCUGACAAAUUAAUGAUUUCUGAGUAAAUGAUGUCAUUUUUGCACCGUUUCAUUAAAAUUUACUCACUUCUGCUUCAUUUCUGGACCUAAAAAAAAUUAAAAUCAUUUCUUUUUCUCUUUCUUCUUUCUUUUUAGUGUGGGAUUGGUUCCCAAACCUGAGAGGGACAUAAAUUUCCCCCAGCAGCACCCCGGAAAUAGAGGUAGGGAGCCAGGCAAGCUACUAUAUUCCCACUGCGGGCACUGGAAUGGACUUCGGACACCUCCUCGCCCCAUCCCCAGCAUCACAGUCAGGAAUCCUGGUCCUCCACCAUCAGUCUAGCUAGUCUAGCAGGGACAGAUAAAGGGCCCUUGCUUUGGCUCAAACCUAGAGAGAGGGUGUGGAUACAGGGGCAAGUGGUGUUUUGGUGGGAGGCAAACAGGAGGGAAAGGAGUUGAUUCCCUCAGUUUUUGAGGCCCUAGAGCCUCCAUUACCUUCACUACACACGACUCGGCUGCUGCAACAAACUUAAGGAAGUUCAGCUCCUGUAGUAGGUAGAAGAGUGACAUACCAAUUGCAUAAAUACCAUCUCCACCAAGGUUCUGGGAGUGAAGAGAGUUCAACCCCCGGAUCCUGACUGAUCACCUAGGCUCAGGCGCCCUGCGACCUUGUCUUGGAACCUCCACAGUUCCCUUCUCUAACUAUCUGGUUUCCCAAGGUUCUUGCGAGGAUUAAGAAGGAUGGCCUGUAAAAGCCCAGACAGACUUCUCCUGGGAUACUCUUCCCAGUUGGUAGCAGCCUGUCCUUGGGCAGCCAGAAGCGCUGCGGGGAAAGAGCAGUGAGCCACCCCCUCCCGGCCGCGCGCGCACACAAAUACA